Molecule: small RNA, 683 nt
Filed under: Pan troglodytes (chimpanzee)
Lineage: Eukaryota; Metazoa; Chordata; Mammalia; Primates; Hominidae
Description: retained intron
Source: RNAcentral
GAGGAUCCUGCCUGCAUCCCCAUCUUCUGGGUCAGCAAGUGGGUGGACUAUUCGGACAAGUACGGCCUUGGGUAUCAGCUCUGUGAUAACAGCGUGGGGGUGCUCUUCAAUGACUCAACACGCCUCAUCCUCUACAAUGAUGGUGACAGCCUGCAGUACAUAGAGCGUGACGGCACUGAGUCCUACCUCACCGUGAGUUCCCAUCCCAACUCCUUGAUGAAGAAGAUCACCCUCCUUAAAUAUUUCCGCAAUUACAUGAGCGAGCACUUGCUGAAGGCAGGUGCCAACAUCACGCCGCGCGAAGGUGAUGAGCUCGCCCGGCUGCCCUACCUACGGACCUGGUUCCGCACCCGCAGCGCCAUCAUCCUGCACCUCAGCAACGGCAGCGUGCAGAUCAACUUCUUCCAGGUGAGCUGGAGGUCACCAGGCGCAGGAGAGAGCUGGGGUAGGCUCCGCGUGCCUGGCAGUGGCCCAUGUGAGUUGAAUGUGGAGUGAGCGGCUCAGGAUCACACCAAGCUCAUCUUGUGCCCACUGAUGGCAGCCGUGACCUACAUCGACGAGAAGCGGGACUUCCGCACAUACCGCCUGAGUCUCCUGGAGGAGUACGGCUGCUGCAAGGAGCUGGCCAGCCGGCUCCGCUACGCCCGCACUAUGGUGGACAAGCUGCUGAGCUCACGCUCGGC